GAUACCCUAUUAUAAAAAUUUAAAUUAAUUUACUAAAAAAUUAAUAGUUAUGUUCUUUAAAUUUAAAAAAUUUGGCGGUAUUUUAGUCUUAUUAGAGGAAUCUGUUUAUUAAUUGAUAAUCCACGAUUAAUUUUACUUAUUUUAAUUAAUUCAUAUAUCGCUGUCAUGAAUAUAUUUAAAAAUUUAUUUUCUUUAAUUAUUUUAAUAAUUUAUGUUAAGUCAAGAUGUGGUUUAUAAAUAAGAAUAUAAUGGAUUACAUUAAAUUUUAUUUUUGGAUUUAAAAUGAAAAUUAAGAUGAAAUUGGAUUUAAUAGUAAGUUUAAUUAAUUUAUUAAUAUGAAUAAAGAUCUAAAUUAU
This 356-nucleotide ribosomal RNA is filed under the name Hyalopterus sp. B JDL-2007. Its description in RNAcentral is "partial 12S ribosomal RNA". Lineage: Eukaryota; Metazoa; Arthropoda; Insecta; Hemiptera; Aphididae. The record is from RNAcentral.